RNAcentral lists this ribosomal RNA (831 nucleotides) under Triticum aestivum (bread wheat). RNAcentral describes it as "partial small subunit ribosomal RNA". The record is from RNAcentral. Lineage: Eukaryota; Viridiplantae; Streptophyta; Magnoliopsida; Poales; Poaceae.
AUGGAGCGGCAGACGAGGUCAUCCCGGAGCAGCAUGGCCACCUCAAGGUCGGGCUUCUUGGCUGCCACCUGCGCCGCCAUCGCCGUUCCGAACGAGCCCCCACCGAGGACCACCACCUGCAGUUUUCCUCCGACGAUCAGAUCCCAUCCCACAAAAAAGUUUGCGGCUCCAUGGGUUGAAGCAGACAAGAGUCUUUCCGUCACCUUGCGCGUGGUCUCGAGGACGUCGCUGCGGUUGCGGCUGCGCCAGGAGCGAGACCAGCGGACGAGCUUCUCCCACGCGAUCCGCACCACGCGGCGCCGGUCCUUCCGGCCGCUGCGUGGGGCCUCUCCCUCGUCCGUCUCGGCAUCUGGCGGCGGUACGUCGGAGGCGGCAGCGCAGAUGGGUGAGGCACGGUGGCGAGCGGUGGUGGUGCGAGGGCGAAAGAUUGGGGCGGGGGGAAGGAAGGCGGCGGCGGCGGCCAUGAGAGCGAGCAGCAAAGGGGGGAACGGAAGAAUGGGGGUGUUUUGCUAUCUUAUCCGUUCCCGCCCCUUUUCUCGGUUUCUUGUUUGUCGCUCUGCUUCGUCUCAAAACGCCCGCUCGCAUCUCGACCAGCUUUUGCCUAAACCAACUCCAAUCCUUUUACCAAUUAACAUCUUAGAAGAUUUCACAAAAUCGUUAUCACUUAGCUUUCGACUUUUCGGGAAUAUAUUGACGGAUGAACUAGUUAUUGUUGUUGUUGUUGUUGUUUCUUUAGUUCCCUUAGUCAUCCCUAUACAUGUUUCUUGGAUUAUUUACAGGCGGUAUUCAAGCUCUUAUUUUUGCAACAUUAGUUUCAGCCUAUAUAGGUGA